Molecule: ribosomal RNA, 457 nt
Filed under: uncultured Streptococcus sp.
Lineage: Bacteria; Bacillati; Bacillota; Bacilli; Lactobacillales; Streptococcaceae
Description: bacterial SSU rRNA
Rfam family: Bacterial small subunit ribosomal RNA
Source: RNAcentral
AAGCGGUGGAGCAUGUGGUUUAAUUCGACGCAACGCGAAGAACCUUACCUGGGUUUGACAUCCCUGUCGUAUUCCAUGGAAACAUGGGAGUCAGUUCGGCUGGACAGGUGACAGGUGCUGCAUGGCUGUCGUCAGCUCGUGUCGUGAGAUGUUGGGUUAAGUCCCGCAACGAGCGCAACCCUUGUCCUUAGUUGCCACCAUUCAGUUGGGCACUCUAAGGAGACUGCCGGUGUUAAACCGGAGGAAGGUGGGGAUGACGUCAAAUCAUCAUGCCCCUUAUGACCUGGGCUACACACGUGCUACAAUGGUUGGUACAACGAGUUGCGAGUCGGUGACGGCGAGCUAAUCUCUUAAAGCCAAUCUCAGUUCGGAUUGUAGGCUGCAACUCGCCUACAUGAAGUCGGAAUCGCUAGUAAUCGCGGAUCAGCACGCCGCGGUGAAUACGUUCCCGGGCCUU